UUCUUGGUAGGCUUUGCAAGCACUCUCCUCUAUGGUCGACAUGGGAUCUGUGAUGUACUGGAAGGUGUCUAAGGGGAUCAAAAUGCUUGGCUAGGGAUUCCGAUUUGUGGAAUAGAGAUAUCUUGGGGGUUUAGGCUGAGAUUGAUGAAGCUUGCUUCUUUUAUCGUUUCCAUGAGAUUUGGAGUGGGUCACACACAGAUUUAAGGUGAGGGAUGGAAGGCUUGUGGAUGGAGUAGCUGAGGAGACAGGAUGGAUGCAUGAAAUUGUUCGGAUGUUUUAGCAGAUGUUGAGAGGGUUGUUUUAAAAAAAAAACUUGAGGGAAAAACUAGGGAUGCUGUAGUUGGUAUUAGCGCAGUUAUUCCUAAAGGACAAUGAGUGCAUGCAAUCCCAUCGAUGACUUAGAUACUUCCACCUUCAAGUCUGUAAGAUUUGUUUUAUAAUGUUAUAGUCAUGAAUUUAGCUAUGUUUAUGAAUAUAUGCGAGGUUGUAAUGUGAAUAUUUUGGAUAAAUAGUGUUAUGGCUGCUAGAAGAAACAAUGAUGAGGUUGGAGGACAGAAAAAUCAAUUCCUCGCUGAACUUACCAUGCUCUUGCAAGAACAGAGUCGAAUUCAUGGAGACCUUGACCAUGGACCGUCCGUACUUGGUUGGAUAACCUAGACUGUACAAUCGGAUAUAUGACCUACAUCGAUGAGGAAAGAAUGGUGUUUAAUGACCUUUGAUGUGUUGCAAUCAUAGAUAAUAGGUGCACUAGUGAAGUGUGCACUGAUGUUGCCUAAUUGUUGGUGCCAAUAGAUUAAUAACACUACUAGUAGAAUGGUGAUAUAGUUCUACAUCCUAAUAGUACCGAGUGAUAAGAGUUGACACUGGGACGUUAUAUUUGUGAGCCCAUGAUAGGUUUGUCUCACUAAAAAUAUAUGUUACGACAAACUUUCCCAUAAGAUAUAAUCUCUUUAGAUUUAUGGAGGAUAUCUUUGAAUUUGUUGGCAUUAUGUGUUGAAGGAUAGAUGACUUCCUUUUUCACUAUCAUUAUUUAUGGAGCUAUCAAGUUUAUUUGAUGUUGGGGAUGAAUUGGGGUUGAUAGAGUAGAAGUAAAAAAGGCAUGUAUGGGAGGUUACAUGGAAAGAUGAAGGUUUAUAAUGCAAGGCACGAAUAAGUAUUGUUUCAUGAGUUGUCUAUGGGAUGUAGCUAAUAUCAGUAGGAACCUUGAGAUAUGUUGCUGGGAAAAAAAAUAUGGGUAUUUGUGAAGAAUUUAUUAGUAGAGUUUAAGGGUGAGACAUGUUGGAGCAAGUAUUGUAAGUUGGUUUUAUAGAAUCGUAUGAGUAUAUGCUGUAGAGAAUUUUUGAAAACAGAAGUUGGAGAAUUUUGUCAGAACAUAUACUAUAGAGAAUUGUAUCAUAACUUUGCUGCUGGAUGGAGUAUCAGUAAUGCUUAAUACAAGGGUUGUUGAAAUAGUAUGUAUUAUGGUUUCAUGAUUUCAAAUUUACAACAGUCUAGUUCCAUGAUUUGUUUUAAAGUUGUUAGAUUUUUAUGGAAUUUGAGUGAGAUUUUGAAGGGAUUUUGUGAAUCUGAGUUGUAAAGAAAAUGACCCUUUGGUUCUUGAACUCUAAUCAGUUCUGAUACCUCGGCUAAAUCUACAGGCCUCUGAGUUAGUUAAACUAGUGAGAACCUCAUUUGAAUCUAAAUUGGAUUUCUGGGUUCUGAGACCUUUGGCAUUUACAAUUCCUUGAAUUCUUGCUGGACUCGAUUUCUAAAUCGUUGAAUAUAGGAAUUCUGUUUGUAGAAGACUAAAGCUGCUAUCUAUAAUUUCAUUGAAGCCGAACUCUGGGUAUGUUUAGUUGGAUCUGAUGCUUUAUUGUGCAUCUGUAUUGGUGAUAUUUAGUUGCUGAAACUAGGGGUACACAACAAGUAAAGGAGGCAUUGAAGUGAAGAUGUCAUGAUUGGAACUAAUAGGAAACCGAUAAUUUCGAGAACUUGAUGAGAUUGCAGAAAUUUUGGAAUGUUGAGGUAAGAAGAGAAUGAUGAUUCAAUCCGAGUUUCGUAGAUUAAUUUUUGAUGAGUUUACUAAGUAAGAUUCCAAUUAGAAGGGGCUCAACUUGGUUGGGUUGUUUACUGGAUAGUGGGAGACAAGGGUACAUGAGAAGGUAUUUAAUGAAGAAGAGAAUUGGAUCAGCUGCAUUUAAAGCAGAAGUUGAGCCAUGGUGGAGUUUGAAGUCUAACUAAGGUAUCUGAGGUUGUGGAAUAGCUUCAUCUUUAAUUAAAUCCAACCUGAUAUGUAUGUUAAGUAUAUAGGUCCAAGGUCUGCAGAAUAAUCUGUUCAGUGAACUGAACAUCCAGAUGUGUUGUGAUAUUUUCUCUUGCUGACCUUGGAUUCUGUUGGAUUUCACCACUACUAGCUUUGGUAAGCCUAGAUGAUCUCUAGUAUCCUCAACUUCUGAACCUUAAAUAGGUCUCUCCACUGGCUUACUGACAGAAUGAAUUUUGGCACACUGUUCUGUGCCAUAUCACUGGAUUUGUAGCAUGCCUUUUCAAUUGAGAUUUAUAGGAACUAAAUGUUGAUUCUGAAUCAUUUAAGUUUUAAAAGUCUGUGUACAUAUCUGAAUUUUGGAACCCUUAUAGAACAAAUGUUCUUCAAGAUAUAGGGUCCUAGUUCCCUUGUUGAAUUUAGUACUGUUAAUCAAUGUGAAGUUCUGAUUAUUGUAUGUCAGUGCUGAGCGAUAUUACCUUGCAUAGAGAUGAAGGGAGAGAUUAGAUCCAUGUCACUGAUCCUAAAAUGCUUGGAAUAGACACAACUUGAUGAUGAUCAUAAUAAUGAUUAAUUAGUUUUUGGAAGCCUUUGAUGCUUGAAUUUGACAAUUCUCUCUCAUACCUAUGUCAUCAUGACAUAAGGAAAACUAGAACUUAAUAGUUUGACAAACCAAACAUGUUAAUAAGCAAAGAAAGAAUCUGAGAAUUGGAGGGGAAGAAAUGAUGAAGUAGAAAAAGCGGAGGAGGAAGAAAAGAGGAACAAGUAAAUGAGAAGCCUUGCUAUUUACCUUUGUUGUUGAGACUUAUGAGUUACCUCUAUGGUAUCUCAGUGGAAGAAGGGAUAAGAGAAGUGGUGCACCUUGAUGUCGAUGCAUCAGAGUCAUGUAGGAGGAUUUAGAUGGUCAUCUGGACAGUUGUUCACAUUGGUUGGGAGGGCUAGAACAUUGCAGGAUGAAUUGGAUAGGGAGUUCAGAAUUAAACCCUCUUUUGGGUGAAGUAGAUGGACUAGUGAUAAAUUAUAAGAGUUUUGGGCCUUUAGCAUUGAAGAAUGUGUUUACCUGUGUCCUAAUUUUGACUCUUUUUAGCAAAACCUCUCCUCCAUUCUCACUUUGAGAAAAUCAAUUAUCCGAAAAUGGACAUGCUACAGGCUUGGGUGAUCGAUUUUUGGGAGAGUUUGGAGUCCAGAUUUCCCUAGUAGAGUUUACUUACGAUAAUAGCUAUCAAGCUACUAUGGAUUUGUAUGAAACAUUGUACGGGAGGAGGUACAAGAAUCCAUUACAUUGGGAUGAGGUAGAGAGAGAGCAGUUUUGGGUCUAGACAUUGUGACUCACACGGUGAAUCUAGGGGCUAAGAUUUGAGACAGAAUGCAGGCAGUGUAGAUUGACCAAAAGAGUUAUGCAGAUUAACGACAAAGAGAUUGGGAGUUUACAGUGGGGGCCAUGUAUUUUUUCAAGGUGUCACCAAUGGAGGAGGUGUUGAGGUUUGGAAAGAAGGGGAAAUUAGCUGAUGGAGGAAGCUUUCUGGAACACUGAACUGGAUAUACGCAACCGCUAUCCCGGAUUAUGUGGUGAGGGAGAAGUCUCCCAGGAUACGAUGGAAGGCUUGCGGAUGGAGUAGCCAAGGAGACAGGAUAGAUGCAUGACACUGUCUGGAUGUCUUAGCAGAUGUUGAGAGGGUUGUUUUAAAAAAAAACUUGAGGGAAAAGGUUUACAUUUUAAUUAAGCUAUAAGAUUGAGAAAGGUUUACAUUUGCAUUUUUUAGCAA
Long non-coding RNA from Zingiber officinale, 4008 nucleotides. RefSeq lists it as uncharacterized. NCBI's taxonomy places the organism in Eukaryota, Viridiplantae, Streptophyta, Magnoliopsida, Zingiberales, Zingiberaceae. The transcript has 4 exons. The record is from RefSeq and is a predicted model, not a curated record.